GAGAACACAAGGAUUUGUGAGAAAGAUGAGAAGUUCAAAUCAGGUUUAUGAUGAAUUUGAAAUGCCUAUAAAACGAGGUGGCCGCCCUGCAAGGGGACCUGGCCAGCCUCCGGGCAGAGCUGCAGGGCCACCACGCGGAGAAGCUGCCAGCAGGAGCAGGAGCCCCCAAGGCCGGCCUGGAGGAAGCUCCAGCUGUCACCGCGGGACUGAAAGUGAGUUUGCAGCAGCUGCAAGACGCAGGCAAGAUCCUGCCUACACUGCUGCCUCUCCCUCGCCUCAGCUGUCUUUCUAAUAACUUGAAGUUUUUCUGUUCAUAGAUCUUUGAACCACCAGCUCCAGGAGAAGGCAACUCCAGUCAGAGCAGCAGAAAUAAGCGUGCCGUUCAGGGUCCAGAA
This 395-nucleotide small RNA is filed under the name Pan troglodytes (chimpanzee). RNAcentral's name for it is "processed transcript". Lineage: Eukaryota; Metazoa; Chordata; Mammalia; Primates; Hominidae. The record is from RNAcentral.